This is a small nuclear RNA of Phyllostomus hastatus (greater spear-nosed bat), 107 nucleotides long. The record is from RefSeq and is a predicted model, not a curated record. Lineage: Eukaryota; Metazoa; Chordata; Mammalia; Chiroptera; Phyllostomidae.
GUGCUUGCUUCAGCAGCACAUGUACUAAAAUUGGAACAAUGCAGAGAAGAUUAGCAUGGCCCCUGCACAAGGAUGACACACAAAUUUGUGAAGCAUUUCAUAUCUUU